CGGCUUAACCUUGGGAAUGGCAUCUAAGACUGGUCAGCUAGAGUCUUGUAAGGGGGGUAGAAUUCCAUGUGUAGCGGUGAAUGCGUAUAGAUGUGGAGGAAUACCGGUGGCGAAGGCGGCCCCCUGGCAAAGACUGACGCUCAGGUGCGAAAGCGUGGGGAGCAAACAGGAUUAGAUACCCUGGUAGUCCACGCUGUAAACGAUGUCGAUUUGAAGGUUGUUCCCUUGAGGAGUGGCUUUCGGAGCUAACGCGUUAAAUCGACCGCCUGGGGAGUACGGCCGCAAGGUUAAAACUCAAAUGAAUUGACGGGGGCCCGCUCAAGCGGUGGAGCAUGUGGUUUAAUUCGAUGCACGCGAAGAACCUUACCUACUCUUGACAUCCAGAGAAUUUAGCAGAUAUGCUUUGGUGCCUUCGGGUACUCUGAGACAGGUGCUGCAUGGCUUGUCGUCAGCUCGUGUUGUGAAAUGUUGGGUUUAAGUCCCGCAACGAGCGCACCCCUUAAUCCUUUUGUUUGCCAGCGAUUCGGUCCGGGAACUCAAAGGAUACUGCCGGUGAUAAACCGGGAGGAUAGGUGGGGGAUGAACGUCAAGUCAUCAUGGGCCCUUUUACGGAGUAGGGGCUUACCACUCGUGCCUACAAUUGG
RNAcentral lists this ribosomal RNA (644 nucleotides) under Providencia vermicola. Its description in RNAcentral is "bacterial SSU rRNA". It matches the Rfam family "Bacterial small subunit ribosomal RNA", at positions 605 to 1234 of the family's 1533-position model. Lineage: Bacteria; Pseudomonadati; Pseudomonadota; Gammaproteobacteria; Enterobacterales; Morganellaceae. The record is from RNAcentral.